GACGAACGCUGGCGGUGUGCCUCACACAUGCAAGUCGAGCGGACGAAGAUUGAAGCUUGCUUCAGUCCUAGUUAGCGGCGGACGGGUGAGUAACACGUAGGAAUCUGCCUUCAGGCGGGGGACGAACGGAACGAAAGUUGCGCUAAUACCCCACUAUGCGAGUAAUCGUAAAAGGAAGCAAUCCACCGGAAGAUGAGCCUGCGUCCGAUUAGCUAGUUGGUAGGGUAAAAGACCUACCAAGGCUACGAUCGGUAGUUGGUCUGAGAGGAUGAUCAGCCACAAUGGAACUGAGACACGGUCCAUACUCCUACGGGGGCGAGCAGUGGGGAAGUUUUGGUACGAAUAGGGCGGCCAAGACC
This 359-nucleotide ribosomal RNA is filed under the name uncultured bacterium. RNAcentral's name for it is "bacterial SSU rRNA". It matches the Rfam family "Bacterial small subunit ribosomal RNA", at positions 28 to 388 of the family's 1533-position model. The record is from RNAcentral.